Molecule: long non-coding RNA, 2916 nt
Filed under: Marmota monax (woodchuck)
Lineage: Eukaryota; Metazoa; Chordata; Mammalia; Rodentia; Sciuridae
Source: RNAcentral
UUUUUUUUUAACUUUUGAUGACUUUUCUUUUUUUUUUAAUAUUUUUUUAAUAUUUAUUUCUUAGUUUUCGGCAGACACAACAUCUUUGUUUGUAUGUGGUGCUGAGGAUCAAACCCGGGCCGCACGCAUGCCAGGCGAGCGCGCUACCGCUUGAGCCACAUCCCCAGCCCAUUUGAUGACUUUUCAACAACAAAAUAUAUCACCUGAACACACUUUCCCAAUGAAGAUGUCUGCUGUUUACUAUCAGAUGUGGGAGAGCUAGACAGACAAGGAGGCAGCCACUGCCACGUACCUACUUGCUUUGCCAAGAUUUCCUGCUGACAGCAAAGAGCCAACAGUGGUGGGCAGCAGCAGAUACCAUACUGGACCCCUGCCCAACUCACUCAGGGACCAAGAGCUCAAGAUUUUGAGGAGAUUAAACAAAAAUGUAAUUACAGCUCACAGGUCUGGUAGCCUCUACCUUCCAAAGUAAACUCAUAUACUAGUAAGUGCCAAAUUCAAAAAGUGACCACUUUGUAGCAAUAACAAGGGAGAAACAUUCUGGUUUGAAACAAAAGGGAGUUGUUGCAGAAGCUGUACAAGCCCCAGAGUUGCACUAAGAAACUAGAGACCAUGUAAAACUGGGCCCUAUCAGAAAAGCAGCAGACAUUCAGCUUAUUGUUUCUCUCCUAGAGAGAACAGAGUUGGCAAUGUUGCAGCAGCAGUGUGGGUGACAGUAUUGGAGGUAAGUGGUGGAAGUAAUAAUAAAAGACAGUUCAGUUACUCAAGUCCUCUACAUUCCUGCAGUUAUUAAGCUAAGUACUUUUUAUGUACAAUCUUCAAAACAACCCUGCCAGGUAAGAUUUGCUACUUCCAAACUAAACAGCAUUUCAACCCAAAAUUUUAAUUUUAAAGAAUGUAAUAUUCUUUUCAAUGUUUUUCUUUUGCAACAAACAGAAGUUAUGAGAAAAAAAUAGCUUACUUUUAAUAUGUCAAUUAAAUCUUGAAUAUAAGAAGAAACCACCUCCCUUUUCCCCAAAAGGUCAUUCACUAAAAUAUUCAGUCCCUACUUUCUAUAGAACAAGCAUAAAUAGCAAAAAGAAAUUAUGGUCACAGAAGCAGCACUUUGAGGGAAUUGUCCAAAGGCCCAGAGACUUUUGAGAAGAGGCUACUGAGGUAGCUAAAAUGACCCCAACAAAGACAGAAGUUUAAGUAAUAUAAGAAGAUGGGUAAACAGUGCAUAUAAUCUUUUAACUUUCCAUAAGCCCUACACUCAAACCUCCAUAUAAUUCUUGAGAUCAACAAAUGUUCCUCCAGGCUCUUCUCAAAAUACUUUAGGGCUGCUGGGGACUCCUGUUAUGCCUUGUUAGCAGGUCAUCUUUAGGGCAAUAAAGAAGAUUCAAGAUUCCUGCUCUCCAGGGGCUCUGGAAGUUCUGAAUGGUAACAAGAGAUGAUCAAAACUUGAAAAGACACCUGUCUUUUACUUACAUCCGUGUACAAUUAUCUUUUGGAGAUACUCCAAACUAAGUUUUCUUCAAUAGCCACCUACUUUCAUCCCAAUAUAAUCAUUAAAUUUAUGAUCGUUUGGAUUGGCAAGAAAAUCAAAUCCACCAAGAUCAAAGUUAAUCAGAGCCAAAAAAAAUUGCACCAAUUAUUCAACUGUCCCUCUCCAAUAUCAAGUGUGUCAGAAAGCAUCUCAGUAUAAAUCAGAAUUCUCAAUUAAGUUACAAUGAACUUAAGCUAAUUUAAACAGAAAGAGAUUUGUGAUUAGAUAUUAGGACAAUCACAAAAUCUCUAAAAGGACAUGAAAACUAUACUUGGAUGCCCCAAAGCCAGAAAGGAAUACCCAAAGACAUCUAGGAACCAUUCUAGAGAAAGCACUACUGCCACUGUCCAUUCUAUCACAUGUUGCUUUGCAAGUCCCUUGCUCUAGCUUACUACUCAGAAGAGUACCUGCCAUUGUUGCCUUCUAGACCAGAAAUGUCCAAUAGAACUUUUAUGAUGAUAGAAAUGUUCUGUUGUUAUGCUGUAUACUAGUUACAUAGCUACUGAGCUCUUGAAUGUAGCUAGUGAGACAAAGGAGCUGAACUUUUUAUUUCCAUUAAUUUUAAUUAAUUUAAAUGGUUACAGUUUUGAACAGAGUAGUCUAAAUGCUCAAUACUGUCCAUGGCUCACAUCUGCAUCCCAACUCCACUCAGAUAUAUAUGCAGAACCAAGGGAAUCUAGUUCUUAUAGUGUACUGUAGUAACUAUGAUUCUACCUUAGGAAACAGGGACUCACAAUUUGCAGGCUAACCAAAUGUAACCCCGAAUGAAAGAUUUUCAAAAGAUUCUGGGCAGCUGCAAAUGAUACACACACACUAUGAUAGCCCUCUGAAAACUAGAGCUCCUCCAAGUAUAUGUAAUGUGCAGGUGACUUUGGAAAUGCCUAGUUUUACUGGGUAAGAGGUGAUUGUUCCAGAAGUGAAGGAAUCAAAACAAGAAAAGGACAGAAGAGUUGAUUUUUAUACUGUGUAGAUGUGCAGGCAAUGUAAAAAUUUUCAACUAGUCUUUUAUUAAGCCCUGACUAUGACUCUGCCUGGGGUGUGCUAAGAAAUAGAGUGAAUUUUAAACAGAAUAGGGACAAAACUCUAGGGAAUGGAGAAGUGAUUUUUAAAAAUUGUUUGCCUAUUUUUAGUAAUGAACAAUUACAUUGGUUUCCUAAUUAGUGCUCAAUAAAGUGACAGCAUAACAAUAAUUUUUUAAAAAUUUAUAUGUCAACAUUUCACAAAAAAAUAAUUAUUUUCAAAAAAUGAAUUGAGGGCUGGGGUUGUGGCUCAGUAGUAGAGCACUUGCCUAGCAUGUGUGAGGCACUGGGUUUGAUUCUCAGCAUCACAUAUAAAUAAAUAAAAUAAAGGUCCAUUGACAACUGAAAAGUGUAUAUAUAUAUUAUAUAUAU